CAUCACUACGCUAGAUGCAUAUCAAUAAGCGGAGGAAAAGAAACUAACAAGGAUUCCCUUAGUAACGGCGAGUGAAGCGGGAAGAGCUCAAAUUUGAAAUCUUCGAGGUUUUACCUUGACGAAUUGUAGUUUAAAGAAGUGUUUUCUGUUGGAGUUUUGGUAAAAGUUCUUUGGAAUAGGACAUCAUAGAGGGUGAGAAUCCCGUAUUUGACCAUUAUUUCCAGCUGUGUGAUACACUUUCAAAGAGUCGGAUUGUUUGGGAAUGCAGUCCAAAAUGGGUGGUAAAUUUCAUCUAAAGCUAAAUAUUGGCGAGAGACCGAUAGCGAACAAGUACCGUGAGGGAAAGAUGAAAAGAACUUUGAAAAGAGAGUUAAACAGUACGUGAAAUUGUCAAAAGGGAAGCGUUUGACACCAGUGUUGUUUUCUCGAAAAUCAAUUAAAAAUGAUGGGAUUUUGUGUUGUAUUGACUUUAUCAGCUUUCUGCACUUUUUUCUUAUCUUUUUUAAUGCACUUUUCGUUUAACAAGUCAACAUCAAUUUCUAUUGUUGUAAAAGAGUCAUUGGAAGGUGGCUUUUUCUUCGGAAAAAGUGUUUAUAGCCUUUGGCUUCUGCAAUCGGAGAGAUUGAGGUCUGCAGCGUAGAUCCUUCGGGGUUAGAUACAUUUGUGCUAAGCUAUAGUUCUUUAUAGACAACUUGUUGACUAUAAUCAAUCCUGUAACUUACUCGCUUAUGCUAUUUUACCUACGCUUAGGAUGUUGAUAUGCAUGACUGAUAU
This 774-nucleotide ribosomal RNA is filed under the name uncultured Neocallimastigales. RNAcentral's name for it is "partial large subunit ribosomal RNA". The stretch from base 7 to 693 matches the Rfam family "Eukaryotic large subunit ribosomal RNA", at positions 24 to 664 of the family's 3401-position model. The record is from RNAcentral. Lineage: Eukaryota; Fungi; Neocallimastigomycota; Neocallimastigomycetes; Neocallimastigales.